RNAcentral lists this transfer RNA (67 nucleotides) under unidentified. Its description in RNAcentral is "Chlorophila portschinski tRNA-Met". The record is from RNAcentral.
AAAAAGGUAAGCUAAUAAAGCUCCCAGGUUCAUACCCUGUUCAUGAAAGACGAUCUUUCCCUUUUUA